Molecule: ribosomal RNA, 253 nt
Filed under: uncultured bacterium
Lineage: Bacteria
Description: partial 16S ribosomal RNA
Rfam family: Bacterial small subunit ribosomal RNA
Source: RNAcentral
UACGAGGGGGGCAAAUGUUGUUCGGAAUCACUGGGCGUAAAGGGAGCGUAGGCGGGUUUUUAAGUUAGGUGUUUAAUCCCGGGGCCCAACCCCGGACCGGCACUUAAAACUGGGAAUCUUGAAUAGUGGAGAGGUCGGUGGAAUUGGGGGUGUAGCGGUGGAAUGCGUAGAGAUCCCCAAGAACACCAGUUGCGAAGGCGGCCGACUGGACACAUAUUGACGCUGAGGCUCGAAAGCAUGGGGAGCAAACAGG